Molecule: small nucleolar RNA, 82 nt
Filed under: Nadsonia fulvescens var. elongata DSM 6958
Lineage: Eukaryota; Fungi; Ascomycota; Dipodascomycetes; Dipodascales
Source: RNAcentral
UUAAAUGAUGAUACAACCAUAAACAAAGCUGGAAUUACCGGCUGAAUAUAAAAUGUAGAUCUGUUUGCUAACUACACUGAUU